CACGUAGGGGACGAGCGUUGUCCGGAUUCAUUGGGCGUAAAGCGCGCGUAGGCGGCCCGGUAAGUCGGAUGUGAAAACCUGGGGCUCAACCCCAGGCGUGCACCCGAUACUCCCGGGCUGGAGGCAGGGAGGGGAGAUCGGAAUUCCUGGUGUAGCGGUGAAAUGCGCAGAUAUCAGGAGGAACACCGGUGGCGAAGGCGGAUCUCUGGGCCUUGCCUGACGCUGAGGCGCGAAAGCUAGGGGAGCGAACAGG
Molecule: ribosomal RNA, 253 nt
Filed under: uncultured bacterium
Lineage: Bacteria
Description: partial 16S ribosomal RNA
Rfam family: Bacterial small subunit ribosomal RNA
Source: RNAcentral